Molecule: ribosomal RNA, 349 nt
Filed under: uncultured Gammaproteobacteria bacterium
Lineage: Bacteria; Pseudomonadati; Pseudomonadota; Gammaproteobacteria
Description: bacterial SSU rRNA
Rfam family: Bacterial small subunit ribosomal RNA
Source: RNAcentral
GAUGAACGCUGGCGGCAGGCUUAACACAUGCAAGUCGAGCGGAAACGAUUCUAGCUUGCUAGAAGGCGUCGAGCGGCGGACGGGUGAGUAACGCGUAGGAAUCUACCUAGUAGUGGGGGACAACAGUUGGAAACGACUGCUAAUACCGCAUACGCCCUACGGGGGAAAGCAGGGGAUCUUCGGACCUUGCGCUAUUAGAUGAGCCUGCGUCGGAUUAGCUUGUUGGUGGGGUAAUGGCCUACCAAGGCAACGAUCCGUAGCUGGUCUGAGAGGAUGAUCAGCCACACUGGGACUGAGACACGGCCCAGACUCCUACGGGAGGCAGCAGUGGGGAAUAUUGCACAAUGGA